Molecule: unclassified non-coding RNA, 203 nt
Filed under: Hevea brasiliensis (rubber tree)
Lineage: Eukaryota; Viridiplantae; Streptophyta; Magnoliopsida; Malpighiales; Euphorbiaceae
Source: RNAcentral
GUGUGAACUCGCGGUGUAUUCCACUACAGGUUGUGCAAACAAACGUCCAGAAAUUUGUGCAGACGUACUGUGGUCCCAGGCUGUUGCAGUUGAUGCACCGGCGAUUCUCCUGCAAUUUCAGAAGACCGCGAAUAAUCCGUUCGUUCUUCUCAUCCUCCUUCACUCGAUUCGCCAUAUAUCCCAACCAAAAUCAGCAUACAAAC